This 2774-nucleotide ribosomal RNA is filed under the name Escherichia coli. Its description in RNAcentral is "bacterial LSU rRNA". It matches the Rfam family "Bacterial large subunit ribosomal RNA". The record is from RNAcentral. Lineage: Bacteria; Pseudomonadati; Pseudomonadota; Gammaproteobacteria; Enterobacterales; Enterobacteriaceae.
AGCGUACACGGUGGAUGCCCUGGCAGUCAGAGGCGAUGAAGGACGUGCUAAUCUGCGAUAAGCGUCGGUAAGGUGAUAUGAACCGUUAUAACCGGCGAUUUCCGAAUGGGGAAACCCAGUGUGUUUCGACACACUAUCAUUAACUGAAUCCAUAGGUUAAUGAGGCGAACCGGGGGAACUGAAACAUCUAAGUACCCCGAGGAAAAGAAAUCAACCGAGAUUCCCCCAGUAGCGGCGAGCGAACGGGGAGCAGCCCAGAGCCUGAAUCAGUGUGUGUGUUAGUGGAAGCGUCUGGAAAGGCGCGCGAUACAGGGUGACAGCCCCGUACACAAAAAUGCACAUGCUGUGAGCUCGAUGAGUAGGGCGGGACACGUGGUAUCCUGUCUGAAUAUGGGGGGACCAUCCUCCAAGGCUAAAUACUCCUGACUGACCGAUAGUGAACCAGUACCGUGAGGGAAAGGCGAAAAGAACCCCGGCGAGGGGAGUGAAAAAGAACCUGAAACCGUGUACGUACAAGCAGUGGGAGCACGCUUAGGCGUGUGACUGCGUACCUUUUGUAUAAUGGGUCAGCGACUUAUAUUCUGUAGCAAGGUUAACCGAAUAGGGGAGCCGAAGGGAAACCGAGUCUUAACUGGGCGUUAAGUUGCAGGGUAUAGACCCGAAACCCGGUGAUCUAGCCAUGGGCAGGUUGAAGGUUGGGUAACACUAACUGGAGGACCGAACCGACUAAUGUUGAAAAAUUAGCGGAUGACUUGUGGCUGGGGGUGAAAGGCCAAUCAAACCGGGAGAUAGCUGGUUCUCCCCGAAAGCUAUUUAGGUAGCGCCUCGUGAAUUCAUCUCCGGGGGUAGAGCACUGUUUCGGCAAGGGGGUCAUCCCGACUUACCAACCCGAUGCAAACUGCGAAUACCGGAGAAUGUUAUCACGGGAGACACACGGCGGGUGCUAACGUCCGUCGUGAAGAGGGAAACAACCCAGACCGCCAGCUAAGGUCCCAAAGUCAUGGUUAAGUGGGAAACGAUGUGGGAAGGCCCAGACAGCCAGGAUGUUGGCUUAGAAGCAGCCAUCAUUUAAAGAAAGCGUAAUAGCUCACUGGUCGAGUCGGCCUGCGCGGAAGAUGUAACGGGGCUAAACCAUGCACCGAAGCUGCGGCAGCGACGCUUAUGCGUUGUUGGGUAGGGGAGCGUUCUGUAAGCCUGCGAAGGUGUGCUGUGAGGCAUGCUGGAGGUAUCAGAAGUGCGAAUGCUGACAUAAGUAACGAUAAAGCGGGUGAAAAGCCCGCUCGCCGGAAGACCAAGGGUUCCUGUCCAACGUUAAUCGGGGCAGGGUGAGUCGACCCCUAAGGCGAGGCCGAAAGGCGUAGUCGAUGGGAAACAGGUUAAUAUUCCUGUACUUGGUGUUACUGCGAAGGGGGGACGGAGAAGGCUAUGUUGGCCGGGCGACGGUUGUCCCGGUUUAAGCGUGUAGGCUGGUUUUCCAGGCAAAUCCGGAAAAUCAAGGCUGAGGCGUGAUGACGAGGCACUACGGUGCUGAAGCAACAAAUGCCCUGCUUCCAGGAAAAGCCUCUAAGCAUCAGGUAACAUCAAAUCGUACCCCAAACCGACACAGGUGGUCAGGUAGAGAAUACCAAGGCGCUUGAGAGAACUCGGGUGAAGGAACUAGGCAAAAUGGUGCCGUAACUUCGGGAGAAGGCACGCUGAUAUGUAGGUGAAGUCCCUCGCGGAUGGAGCUGAAAUCAGUCGAAGAUACCAGCUGGCUGCAACUGUUUAUUAAAAACACAGCACUGUGCAAACACGAAAGUGGACGUAUACGGUGUGACGCCUGCCCGGUGCCGGAAGGUUAAUUGAUGGGGUCAGCGCAAGGCGAAGCUCUUGAUCGAAGCCCCGGUAAACGGCGGCCGUAACUAUAACGGUCCUAAGGUAGCGAAAUUCCUUGUCGGGUAAGUUCCGACCUGCACGAAUGGCGUAAUGAUGGCCAGGCUGUCUCCACCCGAGACUCAGUGAAAUUGAACUCGCUGUGAAGAUGCAGUGUACCCGCGGCAAGACGGAAAGACCCCGUGAACCUUUACUAUAGCUUGACACUGAACAUUGAGCCUUGAUGUGUAGGAUAGGUGGGAGGCUUUGAAGUGUGGACGCCAGUCUGCAUGGAGCCGACCUUGAAAUACCACCCUUUAAUGUUUGAUGUUCUAACGUUGACCCGUGAUCCGGGUUGCGGACAGUGUCUGGUGGGUAGUUUGACUGGGGCGGUCUCCUCCUAAAGAGUAACGGAGGAGCACGAAGGUUGGCUAAUCCUGGUCGGACAUCAGGAGGUUAGUGCAAUGGCAUAAGCCAGCUUGACUGCGAGCGUGACGGCGCGAGCAGGUGCGAAAGCAGGUCAUAGUGAUCCGGUGGUUCUGAAUGGAAGGGCCAUCGCUCAACGGAUAAAAGGUACUCCGGGGAUAACAGGCUGAUACCGCCCAAGAGUUCAUAUCGACGGCGGUGUUUGGCACCUCGAUGUCGGCUCAUCACAUCCUGGGGCUGAAGUAGGUCCCAAGGGUAUGGCUGUUCGCCAUUUAAAGUGGUACGCGAGCUGGGUUUAGAACGUCGUGAGACAGUUCGGUCCCUAUCUGCCGUGGGCGCUGGAGAAUUGAGGGGGGCUGCUCCUAGUACGAGAGGACCGGAGUGGACGCAUCACUGGUGUUCGGGUUGUCAUGCCAAUGGCACUGCCCGGUAGCUAAAUGCGGAAGAGAUAAGUGCUGAAAGCAUCUAAGCACGAAACUUGCCCCGAGAUGAGUUCU